RNAcentral lists this transfer RNA (73 nucleotides) under Agrilus planipennis (emerald ash borer). It matches the Rfam family "tRNA". From Rfam's summary of the family: Transfer RNA (tRNA) molecules are approximately 80 nucleotides in length. Their secondary structure includes four short double-helical elements and three loops (D, anti-codon, and T loops). Further hydrogen bonds mediate the characteristic L-shaped molecular structure. tRNAs have two regions of fundamental functional importance: the anti-codon, which is responsible for specific mRNA codon recognition, and the 3' end, to which the tRNAs corresponding amino acid is attached (by aminoacyl-tRNA synthetases). tRNAs cope with the degeneracy of the genetic code in two manners: having more than one tRNA (with a specific anti-codon) for a particular amino acid; and 'wobble' base-pairing, i.e. permitting non-standard base-pairing at the 3rd anti-codon position. Lineage: Eukaryota; Metazoa; Arthropoda; Insecta; Coleoptera; Buprestidae. The record is from Rfam by way of RNAcentral.
GCACUUGUAGUUUAUUAGUCAGAGUAUUGGUGCGUAAAGUCAAAGGUCUCGGGUUCGAUUCCCGGCAAGGGUG